This 871-nucleotide ribosomal RNA is filed under the name Torula fici. RNAcentral's name for it is "partial large subunit ribosomal RNA". It matches the Rfam family "Eukaryotic large subunit ribosomal RNA", at positions 50 to 937 of the family's 3401-position model. The record is from RNAcentral. Lineage: Eukaryota; Fungi; Ascomycota; Dothideomycetes; Pleosporales; Torulaceae.
GCGGAGGAAAAGAAACCAACAGGGAUUGCCCUAGUAACGGCGAGUGAAGCGGCAACAGCUCAAAUUUGAAAUCUGGCUCCUUUGGGGUCCGAGUUGUAAUUUGCAGAGGGAGCUUUUGGCGUCGGUCGUGGUCUAAGUUCCUUGGAACAGGACGUCACAGAGGGUGAGAAUCCCGUACGUGGCCGCCGGCCUUCGCCUUGUAAAGCCCCUUCGACGAGUCGAGUUGUUUGGGAAUGCAGCUCUAAAUGGGAGGUAAAUUUCUUCUAAAGCUAAAUACCCGCCAGAGACCGAUAGCGCACAAGUAGAGUGAUCGAAAGAUGAAAAGCACUUUGGAAAGAGAGUGAAAAAGCACGUGAAAUUGUUGAAAGGGAAGCGCUUGCGGCCAGACGUGCCCGCGGUUGAUCAUCCAGGCUCCAGCCUGGUGCACUCCUCCGCGGGCAGGCCAGCAUCAGUUCGGGCGGUCGGAUAAAGGCCUCUAUCACGUACCACCCCUCGGGGUGGCCUUAUAGGGGAGGCGCAACACGGCCAGCCCGGACUGAGGUUCCGCGCAUCUGCUAGGAUGCUGGCGUAAUGGCAGCAAGCGGCCCGUCUUGAAACACGGACCAAGGAGUCUAACAUCUAUGCGAGUGUUUGGGUGUCAAGCCCGAGCGCGCAAUGAAAGUGAACGGAGGUGGGAACCCUUACCGGUGCACCAUCGACCGAUCCUGAUGUCUUCGGAUGGAUUUGAGUAAGAGCAUAGCUGUUGGGACCCGAAAGAUGGUGAACUAUGCCUGAAUAGGGUGAAGCCAGAGGAAACUCUGGUGGAGGCUCGCAGCGGUUCUGACGUGCAAAUCGAUCGUCAAAUUUGGGCAUAGGGGCGAAAGACUAAUCG